GACGAACGCUGGCGGCGUGCUUAACACAUGCAAGUCGAACGGAAAGGCCCUGCUUUUGUGGGGUGCUCGAGUGGCGAACGGGUGAGUAACACGUGAGUAACCUGCCCUUGACUUUGGGAUAACUUCAGGAAAUUGGGGCUAAUACCGGAUAGGAGCUCCUGCUGCAUGGUGGGGGUUGGAAAGUUUCGGCGGUUGGGGAUGGACUCGCGGCUUAUCAGCUUGUUGGUGGGGUAGUGGCUUACCAAGGCUUUGACGGGUAGCCGGCCUGAGAGGGUGACCGGCCACAUUGGGACUGAGAGACGGCCCAGACUCCUACGGGAGGCAGCAGUGGGGAAUAUUGCACAAUGGGCGGAAGCCUGAUGCAGCAACGCCGCGUGCGGGAUGACGGCCUUCGGGUUGUAAACCGCUUUCGCCUGUGACGAAGCGUGAGUGACGGUAAUGGGUAAAGAAGCACCGGCUAACUACGUG
RNAcentral lists this ribosomal RNA (468 nucleotides) under uncultured bacterium. Its description in RNAcentral is "partial 16S ribosomal RNA". It matches the Rfam family "Bacterial small subunit ribosomal RNA", at positions 28 to 507 of the family's 1533-position model. The record is from RNAcentral.